GGGCCCGUAGCGCAGCUGGUAGCGCGCCUCGCUGGCAGCGAGGAGGUCACCGGUUCGAACCCGGUCGGGUCCA
Molecule: transfer RNA, 73 nt
Filed under: Patescibacteria group bacterium
Lineage: Bacteria
Description: tRNA-Ala
Rfam family: tRNA
About the family: Transfer RNA (tRNA) molecules are approximately 80 nucleotides in length. Their secondary structure includes four short double-helical elements and three loops (D, anti-codon, and T loops).
Source: RNAcentral